GUGGGUUAGUAGGUAGGUAUAACACGAACAAACAAAAUAA
RNAcentral lists this non-coding RNA (40 nucleotides) under Trypanosoma vivax. The record is from RNAcentral. Lineage: Eukaryota; Euglenozoa; Kinetoplastea; Trypanosomatida; Trypanosomatidae.